RNAcentral lists this ribosomal RNA (1353 nucleotides) under metagenome. RNAcentral describes it as "bacterial LSU rRNA". It matches the Rfam family "Bacterial large subunit ribosomal RNA", at positions 1553 to 2925 of the family's 2925-position model. The record is from RNAcentral.
AGACGAAGGCGUGAUGCGGAGCGAAAUGAAGUAGUGAAGCUGCGGCCCCUUCCUGUCGAGAAAAGCCGCUAUCGUGUAGCAAGGGCCCGUACCGUAAACCGACACAGGUGGAUGAGGAGAGGAUCCUAAGGCCGGCGGGAGAAGUGUUGUUAAGGAACUCGGCAAAAUGACUCCGUAACUUCGGGAGAAGGAGUGCUGCGCAAGCAGCCGCAGAGAAAUGGCCCAAGCAACUGUUUAGCAAAAACACAGGUCUAUGCGAAACCGAAAGGUGAGGUAUAUGGGCUGACGCCUGUCCGGUGCUGGAAGGUUAAGGGGAGAGCUUAGCGCAAGCGAAGGUUUGAACUUAAGCCCCAGUAAACGGCGGCCGUAACAAUAACGGUCCUAAGGUAGCGAAAUUCCUUGUCGGGUAAGUUCCGACCCGCACGAAAGGCGUAAUGAUUUGGGCACUGUCUCAACAACACACCCGGUGAAAUUGAAAUACCAGUGAAGAUGCUGGUUACCCGCGCCAGGACGGAAAGACCCCAUGGAGCUUUACUCCAGCCUGAUACUGGGAUUCGGUAUUGCAUGUACAGGAUAGGUGGGAGGCUAAGAACUUAUGGCGCCAGCCGUGAGGGAGCCGAUGUUGGGAUACCACCCCUGCAGUACUGGGUUUCUAACCUGCGCCCGUGACCCGGGCGGGGGACAAUGUCAGGCGGGGAGUUUGACUGGGGCGGUCGCCUCCGAAAGGGUAUCGGAGGCGCUCAAAGGUCUCCUCAGGAUGGUUGGAAACCACCCAGAGAGUGCAAAGGCAGAAGGAGGCUUGACUGCGACACCGACGGGUGGAGCAGGUACGAAAGUAGGACUUAGUAAUCCGGUGGCAUAAAGUGGGAUUGCCAUCGCUCAACGGAUAAAAGCUACCCUUGGGAUAACAGGCUUAUCACUCCCAAGAGUUCACAUCGACGGAGUGGUUUGGCACCUCGAUGUCGGCUCAUCGCAUCCUGGAGCUGGAGCAGGUUCCAAGGGUUGGGCUGUUCGCCCAUUAAAGCGGUACGCGAGCUGGGUUCAGAACGUCGUGAGACAGUUCGGUCCCUAUCCGGCGCGGGCGCAGGAUAUCUGAGAGGAGCUGUCCUUAGUACGAGAGGACCGGGAUGGACCGUCCGCUGGUGGACCGGUUGUCAUGCCAAUGGCACGGCCGGGUAGCCAAGACGGGAAGGGAUAAACGCUGAAGGCAUCUAAGCGUGAAGCCCCCCUCAAGAUGAGAUAUCCAUACUCGAAAGAGUGAGAGACCCCUUAGAGACGAUGAGGUAGAUAGGGCAGAGAUGGAAGCACAGCGAUGUGUGGAGUUGACUGUUACUAAUCGGUCGAUAGCUUGAA